Monodelphis domestica (gray short-tailed opossum) is the source of this 6612-nucleotide non-coding RNA. The record is from RefSeq and is a predicted model, not a curated record. Lineage: Eukaryota; Metazoa; Chordata; Mammalia; Didelphimorphia; Didelphidae.
AACUCCUGAGACUCAGACCUUUGGUUUGGAGCAUGUUGAGAAAUGCUUUAAUGGCGACUACAAUGGCAUUUGAGAUUUUGAGAAGCUUGAGAAGUCAUUAGAAUAUAUUCAACUAUGUCUACGUUUCAACAGGGGAGGUAGUGUGGGGAUAGUGGCCAGGGGUGUGGACUUGAAGUCAGGAAAACCCAUGGGCCAAUACUGCUCCCAAUGCUUGUUCCCUGUGUGACUCUGGGCAAGUCACCACCUCUUGGGGGCCCAGGCAAGUCUCUGAAUUACUGAUCUGGGCCAAGGAGGGAACUUCUUUCCUGACAGUUAGGUACAGUGGCAAAAUCACAGACUGGGACCAGAUAAAUUUACUAGGUGUUAUACAGUAGGAGCAGAGCUGCCUGAAGGAAAGGUUUUUGGAGGUGAGAAGCUCAUGGUUAGUAGAAGUAUUCCUCCGUCAAAAUUUAAAUGUGGGAGGCACAGUUAUUUAGCCACACUGACCUCUCAGUUAUCCAUAAGUCAUGAGGGGAGAUAACUGAGCAUCAUAGAAUCAUAGAUCCAGAAAGUGGAGGCUCUCAGAGAUCACUUGGGAAAAUCCCUAAUUUUGCAGAGGAGGAAACUGAGGCCAAUAGAAGUUAUUAAUUGUCCAAGGUCACAUAAGUAGUAAGCAUCAAAUGUAAGAACUGACUCAGGUCUUUUUUAUUCCAAAGCCAGUGAAUGCUCUUUUGAGUAUAAUAAGUGGCUGGACUAUCUCCCAGGCUAAAUCAAGGCAGGCAUGACCCAAUGGUUACUGCCCUGAGUUUCAUUCUUUCUUUACAGGGCUGUUAACUUCUCUGGAAACAAACUGCUAUAAAGUCCCGACACAUCAAGAGUCAACCAAAUCUCUCCCAGGACUAAGCUACUCCUCCUCAUCAGACAUUCUUGCAUAGUUUAACUAGGGGCUACUAGGGCGCCACUGAGUAAAUCAUUGUGUUAGUUAAUUGUUCUCCCUGGGGCUUCCACCAUGAAUGACCUCCAGCUGGUCAGAAAUCAAUUAGACUAGGAUGACAAUGCAGAGUCUGCUGGAUUCACCUAGCACCUGCCAGCUUAACGGCAUGAGACACAGAGGACCAACGUGAACAGUUCCUAAUGUCUUAUGGGGAUAACUUACAGCCAAUUCAGCCUCAUUCUGGAGUAUCUGGGUCCCAAGAAAGCAAAGAACUUCAGUCUUAGCUGAGGAUCUCAUUCAUCAAUGAAAGGGGAUGUUCUCACCGGCUCCAAACAGCUGACAUCAUAUGGCACUUUAUAUGAGCAUACAGAACCAGAAGAACUGAAAUGACAUAUCCAAGGUCACAAGAGGAAAAUGGUGCCAAGGAUGGAAGCAUCUAACCCAAGUUCACAAAGGAUGGCCUUAGAAAGGAUGGCUUCAUUGCAAAGCGGAUGGCCAGAGGGCUAAGGAUGAGGAACAAUGACUCAAAGAGAGACCUUUCUUCUAUGGACAAGGCUGCAGGAAAGGCUUACAGAGUUGAGAGUUAUAGGGGAAUGUGAGAAGGGACUGCAAUAACUCAGGGAACACUAGAAAAAGGUUUAGAACAAAGGGAAGACUUCAUGGAAAACCAUCCUUUUCCUAACCAUCACAAAGAGUCUACGUUUGGCAUGGUUGGAUAGAAAAGGGCACUGGAGUCAAAAUCUUAGGACAUGGAGCUUAAAUCCCAAUGCUAUAGGCUCUCUGACCUUGGUUGAAUCCCUUACCCUUACCUAGCUUCCCAUAUCUCUCUACCCAGCCUGGCCUUUGUAAUCAGUCAUUCUAAGUCAACACUCCCUAGUAAGCUAGAAAUCUUAGAUUCUGUUUGCCUCUGACAUUCUCCACUUUCUUCAAAUGAAAUAAUGAGUAGACCAGAUUGGGAUAGUCUCAUCCAGCUCUAGGUUUUUGUCAAGAUUCAAGCUUUUUCUAGUCAAAUGAUGAGAUGCAGAACAGUGUAGGAAUAGGGAGGAAGAUGGAAAGACCUGAGGUCAAGUCCUGUCUUGGUCACACACUAGCGUGGGAUUCUAGCAAGGGACAACCUUUCAGAUCUCUGAGCAACUGUCUACAAUUAGCAACAGAGGAGGUGGCUGACCUAGACUGGAAGAGAGACAGUCCUCAUCUGUCAGUUCCUCAUAUCAAUGAAAUCACAGCUCUAAUCCCUAAUUCCUAGGGUAAUUCUCCAUUUUGACUUUGGCCAUUCAUCCCCUAGACUACGGAUGGAGAACCUUUUAGAGACCAAAUUGUGACCCUCAUGAUGCAUAUGAGCCUCCCCCGCCCCCUUGCCCUUAUCCCAGAGAGGGGAGGGAGGAAGUGCUCCCAAUGGGUUCCUGGGCAGAGGGGCAGGUGAUUUGAGAAAUAUCCUCAGAGGAGUGUGGAAAGGGGGAAGGGAGCAGGCUUCUCUGACAUGCAAGCCAUAGGUUUGCCAAUAUGGCCCUAGACUCUUUUAAACCAUUUUUCAAUGGGGAGAUUUAGGGUGAAGUCGUAAUGAAAUAAAGGAAAAGUCUUAUGAAGAGAGGAAUAAUAUGUCAGGAGAUUGGCUGCUAUUCCAAAGAAGAACUUUGAAGACCUUGGCCUCCCAAUGACUCUUCAUUCAAGUACAGUGACCUUCAUCUCAACUUGCCACCCACAAACAGAGCCAUGCCAAGAACCACACCAUCAGUCAGUAAUGUUUUGCCUCCAGUGAGAUUGACCCCUCAGUUGCCUACAAUAAUGUCCUUCCUCUUCCACCUUUCCACCUCUCCCAUCUGCUCUUUGCCCCCUUUGGGACCUUUGGUUCCUUUACCACUCCCAUUCUCACAGUACUUCACCUUCCUCUCAUUGCUUACCUUGGCUCCCUACCCAGCCUGGCCCCAGAAUUAGUCCUUCUAAGUCUACACUCUAGAAAGCUAGAAUCCUUUCCUUCUGUUUGCCUCUGACAUUCUCUGCUGUCUACCUAGUUUGGAUGAGAAAAAGAAUCUGUUCCCUCCCUCUCAGUUACCUGCUAAACUUUGGUUCCUGAUUCCUCACUAGUACACUAGAUGACUCCCAACCUUGAGUGCCAUUGUUCUCUUCCUCCUCCUCUUGGAUUACCCGAAGUCAUUAGAGAGAGCCAGGAAGUUGUCUUGGAUUGGUUACUCAUUUGUGAACUAUUUAAUGCACAGUGAACCCAAAGUUUUCUCCUAAAGUUUCAAAAGAUCCCAUUCAUUGUUUGCUUGUCAUCCAAAUUAAUUUUUUUAAACCCUGACCUUCUGUCUUAGAAUCAAUACUGUAUGUUGGAUGUAGGCAGAAGAGAGGCAAGGGCUGGCAACAGGGAUUAAGAAACUUGACAGAGUCAUACAGCUAGGAAGUGUCUGAGGCCAGACUUAAACUCAGGACCUCCCACUUCCAGGCCUGGCUCUCUAUCCACUGAGAAUCCUAGUGGCUCUCUAUAUUUUUAUUUUAAAAUUUUAAUCCCUCACCUUCCAAAGGCAAAAGAGCAGCAAGGGCUAGGCAAUGGAGAUUAAGUGAUUUGCACAGGGUCAUAUAGCUAAGAAGAUUCUGAAGCUAGAUUUGAACUCAGAACCUCCUGUCUCUCGAUCCACCGAACUACCAAGCUGCGCCCUCUCUCCAUUAAUUUUUAUUUUAUUUAUUUAUUUAAUUUUUGCUUGUACAAAACCUUUUUAAUUUAAUGUAAUCCAAAUUAUUUAUUUUACAUUUUAUAAUAUUUUCUAACUCUUGCUUGCUCUCAAAAUCUUUCCUUUCUCAUAGAUCUGACAUGUAUACUAUUCUGUGUUCACCUAAUUUACUUACAGUUUCCUUCUUUAUAUUCAAGUCAUUCACCUACUCUGAGUUUGGUGUAGGGUGUGAGAUGUUGAUCUAUACAGAAUCUCUCCCACACUGUUUUCCAAUUUUCCAAGCAGUUUUUGUCCAAUAGUGCAUUUUUGUCCCCAAAGCUGGGCUCUUUUCCCAUUAAUUUUAAAGAGAAUACUUUUCAUGACUACCAUCCACCUUUGUCAUGAGGUGGUGGAAGCCUUCAAAAUUGAACUUGGAUUCAAAUCUUGACUCUGCAACUUGUGGGACCUUGGGUAAAUCACUUCACUACUCUGGGUCUCACUUUCUUCAACUGAAAGGAAGGGUUGACAAUGAUUUCUAAAGCCCCUUCCUACUCUAGGUCCUAUAGAAAAGGAACCAAACAAAAAUACUCAUCUUGAGAUAGUUUUACUCACGUCAUGUGAUAUUCACAUCAUACUAAUGAAUAAAUAGAGAAUGUACCCAUUUCUCGAAUAGUUAUAGAAAAUAGGGGGAGGUGUUAUAUAUACAUAAACAAAAUUGAAAUGAUGUAUUUUAGAAAUGAUCCACGUCACAAAUCAUGGAAUCACAUAAUCAUGGAAGCAUGGGAUAGAACCUUAGUGAUUUAGGAUGCAAACCUUUAAUCCAUACAAUGACUCAUAUAGUUUAGGGUUGGGGUACUUUGGUCCCAAUUUAGCUGGACAAUUUUCUGGCUUUACUUUGUGUAUCAACACAGGCCAGAACACUGAGGGAGACGAACCAGUAAGGGCCACCAGGUAAGGUUUCAUUUGAAUGGGUGGUUGUCAGGGCUCAAGUUCUCUCACUAACGAAAUCAUCUACUAGUCUUACAAAUCAGUUUUGGAUCUAUCGCACUGCACUCAGAGAGGGUCUGACGGAGAGUCCCAGGGUCUGAGUUUAAUUCCUGUUUUUGCCACUUCAUACCUGUUACCCCAACUGUAAAAUGAAGAGAUUGGACUGGAUGACCAAGGCUUGAAUUAGAUGAUCAAUAGGGUCACUUUAAGAUGAAAAUCUUUGGUAAUCUCAAGGAUUUGACUGCAAAUUCCAUUUCAGGGUUCAGUGGUGAUACAUAUUGGGAAGCCCAGAUGCUUUUGGACAAAUACUAAUCCCUUAUGUCUCACGGAUGGGCACAGGUUUGGAUUGCCUCUGAACGGUGUUAUACCGAACGUGGGCAAACUGGGCUUUGUUCCAGGUUGCUGAAAUAUGGAAAAUGAGCCCUUCUCAAAAGCCUGGCAUUCCUGCUAGCCCACACCAACCUCUGGAGCCACUGAGCUUGGGCAGCUAUGUCAGGUUACCUCUCUGUAAUACCCCUUCCUCUUCUGAUCCCACCUUAUUUCCUGACUUCUCCAGGCAUAGCGAGCCCUUUCUCACAGAACAACUGCAACUGAGUUUGAACCACUUACCCCCCACGUGCCUCCCAACCCAAGCUAUUCUUAACCAAAUUUGCCCUAGGAUACAAACAGUCCUACUUGCAGUUUUAGAUAUGUAUAUAUUCUGGUGUUUUUCAUAAACUAUAAUUCAUAAGCAGGAGACCAGGACAAUCUCUAAAUGAGAUUCUGGUCUUGUCUCUGUUCCCCAAACCCUCAAAGAAAACAUACAGCAGAUGUGAGAAUUUCCUUUUAAAAAUGGUAUUGAGGGGGCUGCUAGGUAGCUCAGUGGAUUGAGAGCCAGGCCUAGAGAUGAGAGGUUCAAAUCUGGCCUCAGACACUUCCCAGCUGUGUGACCCUGGGCAAGUCACUUCACCCCCAUUGCCUUAGCCCUUACCACUCUUCUGCCUUGGAACAAACACACAGUAUUGAUUCUAAGAUGGAAGAUAAGGGUUGUUUUUUUUUAAUGGUACUGAGACAAAUUCAAUCACCAAGUAUUUUUUUAGCAUCUUUGCUUAAAACUAAAUAUACACAAUGGACCUCUACAUCUAGUUACUGGCUAGAUCUCUACCUAGCGAUGACACAUCAGAAACAAUCCCCUUACCCAUCUAUUUUAUUUUCCACGGCUAAAAGGAGGAAAGUCCACUAGAAGCAUCUUUCUCCAGGCCUCUCCAGUCCUUAAAAAAAGGGGAGACGUAGUCUCUUUGAUGACAAGACAUCUCUCAAACACAGCCUACCAAUCCUGGCCCAUCGGGGAGCUCAAACAAGCACGGCUUCACUAGAGAUGGUUAGCCAGAGAAAGCUGAUGGAAGAGGAAAGUAGUUCUGUAAUAGCUGCUUUGACCUUCCCGCACUCAAGUUUGGCCCAGAUGGACUCUUUCUGCUACUCUCUUUUCACAUAUGGUCUCUCCUGUGCAAACACGGAGGAAUGCCCUUCAGCUUUCUACAAACAACAGCUCGCCUCUCUCCGCCAACCUCCCUGACCAGGACAGAAGGUAGCAAAGGCAAAGCUAAUCAUUAAGCCUUGGCUUAGCCACUUGGGAGACCCAAAAAGCCUAUUGUUUUUUAUUCAAAUAUUUUUCUAAGUGGAAAAGUGUUCUGCUCAGCUGGUUCAUUGCCUUUCGAAGCUAUGGAUGUCCCCCUCUCCCUCUUCCUACUUUGGAAGGAGGCUUGAAUAGAUGCGGCUUCCUAUGUCACAAGCAUCCCUCUCUAGUCAUUCUCUCCACUUUCCCAUCUCUUGGCCUAUAGAUUUAGAAAAUGUCACCAAUAACACAUCCCUGUAGCUUUCCCUGCCCUCUGUGCUGGUCCCAUGCUCCCUUCCUCCCCGCCGCCAUCACAAAGAAAAGACAAUUUAUUCUCAUUCUAACUCUUUUAUUGGCAUGAGUAAAAUAUCCAGAUCGAGGCAGGCUCUGGAUGCCAGAGAGGACAUUCAUUUCAGGAUCAAAGGUCCCACUGUUGACAAUGAAGAUGAAUAAAGUACCCAUUUAUUUGA